AUGUACAUAAGGUGCAGUUGCAGUCUGGCAACCAGGACCACCCAACACAGGAACAGUUUCUUUCUCCUCGCCAUCUCCCUUCUAAACAGUUGAACUGUCACACUGCUCCCACUGCCAGACUGCAACUGCACCUUAUGUACAUUCUGUAGUAUUCAUUCCACCUCAUUUCAUUUCUGUAUUUUAUGUAUAUACGUUUAGAUUAGUUAUUUAUAGUUGGUUUACACAGCUUUGUGUAUGUAUGUGUAUGCAUGUGUAAUGUAUAUAUAGAUACGUGUGUGUGUGGGUGCGUGUGUGUGUGUGUGUGUGUGUGUGUGUGUGUGUGUGUGUGUGUGUGUGUGUGUGUGUGUGUGUGUGUGUGUGUGUGAGAUUUACAUUGCUGUGCUCGAGAGCCACCAUCUACCGGAACCAAAUUCCUUGUAUUUG
This is a long non-coding RNA of Oreochromis aureus, 423 nucleotides long. The record is from Ensembl. NCBI's taxonomy places the organism in Eukaryota, Metazoa, Chordata, Actinopteri, Cichliformes, Cichlidae.